Molecule: ribosomal RNA, 200 nt
Filed under: uncultured eukaryote
Lineage: Eukaryota
Description: partial 18S ribosomal RNA
Rfam family: Eukaryotic small subunit ribosomal RNA
Source: RNAcentral
GCUCCAAUAGCGUAUAUUAAAGUUGUUGCAGUUAAAAAGCUCGUAGUUGAAUUUUGGGCUUGGCUGGGCGGUCUUUACAUAGUAUUGUACUUCUCUGGCUGAGUCUUUCCUUCUGGCGAACUAUCGUGCUAUUCAUUUAGUGCGAUGGGGAGCCAGGACUUUUUACUUUGAAAAAAUUAGAGUGUUUAAAGCAGGCUUAC